RNAcentral lists this transfer RNA (64 nucleotides) under Echinostoma caproni. It matches the Rfam family "tRNA". From Rfam's summary of the family: Transfer RNA (tRNA) molecules are approximately 80 nucleotides in length. Their secondary structure includes four short double-helical elements and three loops (D, anti-codon, and T loops). Further hydrogen bonds mediate the characteristic L-shaped molecular structure. tRNAs have two regions of fundamental functional importance: the anti-codon, which is responsible for specific mRNA codon recognition, and the 3' end, to which the tRNAs corresponding amino acid is attached (by aminoacyl-tRNA synthetases). tRNAs cope with the degeneracy of the genetic code in two manners: having more than one tRNA (with a specific anti-codon) for a particular amino acid; and 'wobble' base-pairing, i.e. permitting non-standard base-pairing at the 3rd anti-codon position. Lineage: Eukaryota; Metazoa; Platyhelminthes; Trematoda; Plagiorchiida; Echinostomatidae. The record is from Rfam by way of RNAcentral.
GACCUCGUAGUUCAGCUGGUAGAGCUUGUGCCCACUUGCGUGGGUUCGAAUCCCACCGAGGCUA